Long non-coding RNA from Megalops cyprinoides (Indo-Pacific tarpon), 265 nucleotides. RefSeq lists it as uncharacterized. The transcript is spliced from 3 exons. The record is from RefSeq and is a predicted model, not a curated record. NCBI's taxonomy places the organism in Eukaryota, Metazoa, Chordata, Actinopteri, Elopiformes, Megalopidae.
GUCGGCAUAUAAUUCUGUCCUGGUCCGCUUCUUGUUGGAGAUCUCACGCUGUUGAAGGGACAGCUACUGAGAGGAGUUGCAAGGUGAGCUCACAAGGGCACACGCUGAGAUCAUCUGUGUUGACACACAUGGAAUGAGGGACACCGUUUGAGCUAUGCAGCUGGCUGACCAGCCAGGUGGACCCAAGGCCCCGCGGGCAGCAUGCCAUUCUCUUCCCUUUGCCCCUGCCAUUUUUUCUGCAGGCUAAAAUGGUUCUGCAGCCCCA